GAGAGAGUGUGGGGGACCCAUUAGCUGUGGAUGGUCGGAGCGUUGCAAGUGGUAUCAAAGCUGGUUAGCCAUCUCGUUUCUGACCUGAGAGGGGUCUUGAGACCUGUCGUGAGGCGCAACGAGGACGUUUCUGAUACCACAUGAGAUUCAGACCGUAUUGAUGGUUAGACUGAGGUUCGUAUUGGAUCGGCCUGGAGGGGACGGAUGGCUAGACAGAUGCGAUGGAAGAUGGGCUGGCC
Molecule: long non-coding RNA, 239 nt
Filed under: Brassica napus (rape)
Lineage: Eukaryota; Viridiplantae; Streptophyta; Magnoliopsida; Brassicales; Brassicaceae
Description: long non-coding RNA (BNAP_LNC006861)
Source: RNAcentral